GACACUCUAAAUUUAAUUUAGAGCUGUAAAACCUCGUGAUUUUAGCUGCCAUUUGCAAACCUAUUGUUUUUUGUAGC
Molecule: long non-coding RNA, 77 nt
Organism: Maniola jurtina (meadow brown)
Lineage: Eukaryota; Metazoa; Arthropoda; Insecta; Lepidoptera; Nymphalidae
Exons: 3
Source: RefSeq, a predicted model, not a curated record